This 253-nucleotide ribosomal RNA is filed under the name uncultured bacterium. RNAcentral describes it as "partial 16S ribosomal RNA". It matches the Rfam family "Bacterial small subunit ribosomal RNA", at positions 524 to 776 of the family's 1533-position model. The record is from RNAcentral.
UACGGGGGGAGCAAGCGUUGUUCGGAAUCACUGGGCGUAAAGGGCGCGUAGGCGGCUUUAUAAGUCGGGGGUGAAAGCCUGUGGCUCAACCACAGAAUUGCCUUCGAUACUGUAGAGCUUGAGACCGGAAGAGGUUAGUGGAACUGCGAGUGUAGAGGUGAAAUUCGUAGAUAUUCGCAAGAACACCAGUGGCGAAGGCGGCUAACUGGUCCAGAUCUGACGCUGAGGUGCGAAAGCGUGGGGAGCAAACAGG